Molecule: long non-coding RNA, 491 nt
Organism: Oncorhynchus gorbuscha (pink salmon)
Lineage: Eukaryota; Metazoa; Chordata; Actinopteri; Salmoniformes; Salmonidae
Exons: 3
Source: RefSeq, a predicted model, not a curated record
CAAUACAAUUUAAAUCUGAUUCCUCACUGUCUGUCUUUUGACUGAUACUGCUUUUACUCAAAUAUUUGUUAAUAUGCAUGUUUCUAUCUACAAGCAAUACUUGGAAAAUGUGUCAUUUAUAAUAAUGAUACAUUCAUAAAUGAAUAGAUAUGGCAGGUUUCAGGACACUGAUAUAUCUGAACAUUAAAAAAAGAUAUACUGUUCCAUUCUUCACCUCCAAAGAAUAGCAGUGUGAUUUUAAUAUGAUUUGACUCUGCAGACUGUCAGGCUGUGGACUCACAGAGGAAGGCUGUGCUUCUCUGGUCUCAGCUCUGAGUUCAAACCCCUCACACCUCAGAGAGCUGGAUCUGAGUAACAAUGACCUGAAGGAUUCAGGAGUGAGGCUGCUCUCUGCUGGACUGGGGAAUCCCCACUGUAAACUGGAGACUCUGAGGCUGUCAGGCUGUCGAGUCACAGAGGAAGGCUGUGCUUCUCUGGUCUCAGCUCUGAGG